RNAcentral lists this ribosomal RNA (334 nucleotides) under uncultured bacterium. RNAcentral describes it as "bacterial SSU rRNA". It matches the Rfam family "Bacterial small subunit ribosomal RNA", at positions 568 to 899 of the family's 1533-position model. The record is from RNAcentral.
CGUGUAGGCGGUCGGGUAAGUCAGAUGUGAAAGCCUUCUGCUUAACAGAAGAAGUGCAUUUGAAACUGCUUGGCUGGAGUACGGGAGAGGAGAGUGGAAUUCCCGGUGUAGAGGUAAAAAUUCGUAGAUAUCGGGAGGAACACCAGUGGCGAAGGCGGCUCUCUGGUCCGAUACUGACGCUGAGACGCGAAAGCGUGGGGAGCAAACAGGAUUAGAUACCCUGGUAGUCCACGCCGUAAACGAUGGGCACUAGGUGUAGGAGGUAUUGACCCCUUCUGUGCCGAAGCUAACGCAUUAAGUGCCCCGCCUGGGGAGUACGGCCGCAAGGCUAAAA